AGAGAUGGAUUGGUGCCUUCGGAACGUCUGACACACGGUGCUGCAUGGCUGUCGUCAGCUCGUGUCGUGAGAUGUUGGGUUAAGUCCCGUAACCGAGCGCAGCCCUAUUGCCAGUUGCUACCAGGUAAUGCUGGGCACUCUGGUGAGACUGCCCGGUUAACGGGGAGGAAGGUGGGGACGACGUCAAGUCAUCAUGGCCCUUACGCCUAGGGCUACACACGUACUACAAUGGCGCAUACAAAGGGCAGCGAUACCGCGAGGUGGAGCCAAUCCCAAAAAGUGCGUCCCAGUCCGGAUUGCAGUCUGCAACUCGACUGCAUGAAGUUGGAAUCGCUAGUAAUUCGAGAUCAGCAUGCUCGGGUGAAUGCGUUCCCGGGCCUU
RNAcentral lists this ribosomal RNA (381 nucleotides) under uncultured Desulfovibrio sp. RNAcentral's name for it is "bacterial SSU rRNA". It matches the Rfam family "Bacterial small subunit ribosomal RNA", at positions 1002 to 1382 of the family's 1533-position model. The record is from RNAcentral. Lineage: Bacteria; Pseudomonadati; Thermodesulfobacteriota; Desulfovibrionia; Desulfovibrionales; Desulfovibrionaceae.